This 468-nucleotide ribosomal RNA is filed under the name uncultured bacterium. RNAcentral describes it as "partial 16S ribosomal RNA". It matches the Rfam family "Bacterial small subunit ribosomal RNA", at positions 28 to 507 of the family's 1533-position model. The record is from RNAcentral.
GACGAACGCUGGCGGCGUGCUUAACACAUGCAAGUCGAACGGAAAGGCCCUGCUUUUGUGGGGUGCUCGAGUGGCGAACGGGUGAGUAACACGUGAGUAACCUGCCCUUGACUUUGGGAUAACUUCAGGAAACUGGGGCUAAUACCGGAUAGGAACUCCUGCCGCAUGGUGGGGGUUGGAAAGUUUCGGCGGUUGGGGAUGGACUCGCGGCUUAUCAGCUUGUUGGUGGGGUAGUGGCUUACCAAGGCUUUGACGGGUAGCCGGCCUGAGAGGGUGACCGGCCACAUUGGGACUGAGAUACGGCCCGGACUCCUACGGGAGGCAGCAGUGGGGAAUAGUGCACAAUGGGCGGAAGCCUGAUGCAGCAACGCCGCGUGCGGGAUGACGGCCUUCGGGUUGUAAACCGCUUUCGCCUGUGACGAAGCGUGAGUGACGGUAAUGGGUAAAGAAGCACCGGCUAACUACGUG